GCAGCUAUGGCGGAAUCGGUAGACGCGCUAGAUUCAGGUUCUAGUGAGCCCAAGCUCAUGGAAGUUCAAAUCUUCUUAGCUGCA
Molecule: transfer RNA, 84 nt
Filed under: Candidatus Chlamydia sanziniae
Lineage: Bacteria; Pseudomonadati; Chlamydiota; Chlamydiia; Chlamydiales; Chlamydiaceae
Description: tRNA-Leu
Rfam family: tRNA
About the family: Transfer RNA (tRNA) molecules are approximately 80 nucleotides in length. Their secondary structure includes four short double-helical elements and three loops (D, anti-codon, and T loops).
Source: RNAcentral